Molecule: ribosomal RNA, 28 nt
Filed under: Nicoraepoa andina
Lineage: Eukaryota; Viridiplantae; Streptophyta; Magnoliopsida; Poales; Poaceae
Description: partial 26S ribosomal RNA
Source: RNAcentral
GCGACCCCAGGUCAGGCGGGACUCCCCG